RNAcentral lists this ribosomal RNA (602 nucleotides) under Gyroporus castaneus. RNAcentral describes it as "eukaryotic LSU rRNA". The stretch from base 182 to 336 matches the Rfam family "5.8S ribosomal RNA". Lineage: Eukaryota; Fungi; Basidiomycota; Agaricomycetes; Boletales; Gyroporaceae. The record is from RNAcentral.
UCAUUAACGAGUCCGACUCGACGACCACGAGGGGGGGGGGGAGGUCCUCGGGGACCCCCUCCCUUCUCGUGCGGUCGAGUGCUUCUCCUUUCCUGUGCACCCAUCGUAGGUCCUUCGGAUCUACGUCGACCUCUCGAACGUUCAUGGACUGUGUGUGACGUGCGUCCGACGCACGAAGGACAACUUUCAGCGACGGAUCUCUUGGCUCUCGCAUCGAUGAAGGACGCAGCGAAUCGCGAUAAGUAAUGUGAAUUGCAAAUCUUCCGUGAAUCAUCGAAUCUUUGAACGCACCUUGCGCUCCUCGGCAUUCCGAGGAGCAUGCCUGUCUGAGCGUCGCGAUAUCCUCGAACCCGAGGGGAUCCUUUGGGUUCGGAACUUUGGGGGUUGCGGGCACGUCCUCGCGGACGGUCGGCUCUCCUGAAACACAUCAGCGGAAAGGAUGGCAUCGCGACGGAGCGUGACCUUCCCCUCGACGUCGUAAGGAUCGUCGUGGGGCUCGUGAUCGCGAGCGAUGGCGUCCGUGUCUCAGGCUUCCAGUCACACGUGUCUCAGGUUUCGGCCUCAGAUCAGGCAGGGCUACCCGCUGAACUUAAGCAUAUCAU